GUGGUAUGGAAUGUAUGAUCUUUAUUAAUUUUUAAUCCAUCAAUCUAAAAUCACACAUACUAGAUCAAACAGAAGUACCACAGUAUGCUUUAUUUUGCAGGUAUUAAUUGGUUCUCUAAAUCGAUACAUCCAAAACUUUAGUUAGCAGCAAGCAUCAGUUCUUCCAAAGCAGCUUAGGUGAAAAACAAUUGUUUACAUUCACCAGUUCAAAGUCGUACUGUCUGAUCCACUGUUGUAUUGACAUAAAAUUGAACUCAGUAGGCAAAGCUAAUUGAACACUCAGCUCAUAGAUUUUGAGCUUCCUUUAUCUUAUUGGAGUUGAAGCAGUUUUUAACCCUCUGUUAAUAUUCUCUAUUUUAAUUCUCAAAGAAUUAAACACACAUAUUUUCUAAUUAAUUAAGAUAGAGCCAUGAUAACUAUUGAGGAAUUAGUGAUAUUAGUCUCAUACCCAAAAGGUAGAACACUUUUAAAUGAACCCAUAAUUUUGAAUGUAUCUGAAUUUCCAGUUUAUAUGCUUAGCAAGGUCACAAGCUGAUUUUAUUAAUCUGGCUUCUAGAUAAUCAUCUCAAAAAUAUGUAUUGAAACAAAGCCACUGUUUUUUAUGAUGACAUCAUUUUAACCAAAUGCUUUUAUAACAAAUAAGCAGUUGUUCUCAAAAGAGAACAUUUUAAAAGAAAACAUUCUUUACAUACUUAGCAAAUAGAGGAGAGUGUGAAUCUGUAUGUCAGAGCUAUAGAGUUCUAGAGGAGUUGUAGUUGAGCAAUCUAACUUUCUACUCCAGUUUUUGAGAUGUACAUGUUUUUGAGAUGUACAUAUAGAGAAGGCAGUAAAGAAAGAUCUUGAUAAAUUUUCUUUAACAAAAAUUUGUAAUUCCAGUUAUUGGCAAAGGGUUCUGGCAUGAGUUAAUGGCAGCAAUACAGUGGUGAGCUUCUGCAUUGUGCUGAGAGAAAAAAGAAAUCAAUAUAUUAAAAAUAUCAACUAGAGCAUAUUCACAUAGGGAAUGGGAGAGUGCAGGAGGCACACAAACAAAGUAUAUAGAGUUUUUGUUUUCAGUGCAGGAUAAAUGAACCUUCUUAACAAGUUAAGGCUCUGAGGGAAAAAAACUUUCUAAACCAUAACCUUAAUAAACCAUAACCCAUACAGGUGUUCCAAAUCAACACCUUUUUUAAAAAAAGCUGGAGGUCUUACUUCAUCCUUCAGUAUAAAUGUCAAGUCUGAGAUAAUCAGUAUAUUCCAAACUCUAGAACAACAACAACAAAAAAAGAAAUCUCCUUGUUAAAAUAUAGUAGCUA
Molecule: long non-coding RNA, 1292 nt
Filed under: Homo sapiens (human)
Lineage: Eukaryota; Metazoa; Chordata; Mammalia; Primates; Hominidae
Description: HSALNT0285879
Source: RNAcentral